RNAcentral lists this ribosomal RNA (253 nucleotides) under uncultured bacterium. RNAcentral describes it as "partial 16S ribosomal RNA". It matches the Rfam family "Bacterial small subunit ribosomal RNA", at positions 524 to 776 of the family's 1533-position model. The record is from RNAcentral.
GACGAACCGUGCGAACGUUAUUCGGAUUCACUGGGCUUAAAGGGCGCGUAGGCGGACGAGCAAGUCCGGGGUGAAAUCUUUCGGCUUAACCGGAAAAGUGCCUGGGAAACUGCUCGUCUUGAGGGAGGUAGGGGCCUGUGGAACUUCCGGUGGAGCGGUGAAAUGCGCAGAUAUCUGGAGGAACACCGGUGGCGAAGGCGGCAUCCUGGACCAACACUGACACUGAGGAGCGAAAGCCAGGGGAGCAAACGGG